This 312-nucleotide ribosomal RNA is filed under the name Escherichia coli. RNAcentral describes it as "bacterial SSU rRNA". It matches the Rfam family "Bacterial small subunit ribosomal RNA", at positions 87 to 402 of the family's 1533-position model. Lineage: Bacteria; Pseudomonadati; Pseudomonadota; Gammaproteobacteria; Enterobacterales; Enterobacteriaceae. The record is from RNAcentral.
GCUGACGAGUGGCGGACGGGUGAGUAAUGUCUGGGAAACUGCCUGAUGGAGGGGGAUAACUACUGGAAACGGUAGCUAAUACCGCAUAACGUCGCAAGACCAAAGAGGGGGACCUUCGGGCCUCUUGCCAUCGGAUGUGCCCAGAUGGGAUUAGCUAGUAGGUGGGGUAACGGCUCACCUAGGCGACGAUCCCUAGCUGGUCUGAGAGGAUGACCAGCCACACUGGAACUGAGACACGGUCCAGACUCCUACGGGAGGCAGCAGUGGGGAAUAUUGCACAAUGGGCGCAAGCCUGAUGCAGCCAUGCCGCGU